UUCUCUCUCGAUCAGCCUACCCACACUUCCAAUCCUGCUAAGAAUGGCAGUCUCCAAGUCUCACCACUUCCAAUUGAUAAAAUAUUAUUCAAGUUAGUGGCAUUUGAGCCUCCAGUUAGGAACUGGAAAUUAGCAAUUUCACUUUGAGUAUGAAAUCCACCAAGACUUGAUAUGAUAUUGCUAGCAACACCUCCAUAAGAUCGUGAAGGGCAUUUGAAGAGAUGGAGGGUGUGGGAUUUGAGUACUUGUUGCUUUGUUUUCAGUGCUACACCUUGAUGGACUUCCAUUACACCUUGAUGGACUUCCAUUUAAGGAUUUAGUCCCCUUUUGGCUUGGAGAUUUUGAUCUGCUAUGUUGGCUACUUCUUUUGUUCCUCGUACAACCUCCCCCAACCGGAACAUUCCUUAGCGCACCACCGUGUGUCCAAUAACGCCUACACGUCUUGCAAAAGUUAUUGAGAUGGGUGUGGGUUAAUGUUAUUGAAUUUAUUUUAUACAUUUUUUGUUUGUAAAUUUGUAUAAAUUUAUGAUUAAUGUUAUUGAAAUUUUAU
Molecule: long non-coding RNA, 550 nt
Filed under: Helianthus annuus (common sunflower)
Lineage: Eukaryota; Viridiplantae; Streptophyta; Magnoliopsida; Asterales; Asteraceae
Description: hypothetical non coding rna
Source: RNAcentral